This 227-nucleotide ribosomal RNA is filed under the name uncultured bacterium. RNAcentral's name for it is "partial 16S ribosomal RNA". It matches the Rfam family "Bacterial small subunit ribosomal RNA", at positions 112 to 334 of the family's 1533-position model. The record is from RNAcentral.
CGAACGUGGGUAACCUGCCCAUCAGAAGGGGAUAACACUUGGAAACAGGUGCUAAUACCGUAUAACACUAUUUUCCGCAUGGAAGAAAGUUGAAAGGCGCUUUUGCGUCACUGAUGGAUGGACCCGCGGUGCAUUAGCUAGUUGGUGAGGUAACGGCUCACCAAGGCCACGAUGCAUAGCCGACCUGAGAGGGUGAUCGGCCACACUGGGACUGAGACACGGCCCAG